GUGAAUCAUCGAAUCUUUGAACGCAAAUUGCACUCUCUGGUAUUCCGGAGAGCAUGCCUGUUUGAGGGUCAGUUUAAAUAAAAAUCUGUGUUGUUGCUGCCUUUCGUGGUGACUCACCGGAUUUGUGUCGUCUUGCUUUCGGAUAAGUGACCUAAAAUUUUUCAUGAUUUUUUUAGAACGUAUUUAAAUGAUGUUACGUACGCUUGCGAUAUCGAAUACCAG
RNAcentral lists this unclassified non-coding RNA (222 nucleotides) under Glomeraceae sp. Its description in RNAcentral is "partial contains 5.8S ribosomal RNA and internal transcribed spacer 2". The stretch from base 1 to 71 matches the Rfam family "5.8S ribosomal RNA", at positions 84 to 154 of the family's 154-position model. The record is from RNAcentral. Lineage: Eukaryota; Fungi; Glomeromycota; Glomeromycetes; Glomerales; Glomeraceae.